GCCAGACUCCUACGGGAGGCAGCAGUGAGGAAUAUUGGUCAAUGGGCGGAAGCCUGAACCAGCCAAGUCGCGUGAGGGAAGAAGGCCCUGCGGGUCGCAGACCUCUUUGGACGGGGAGCAAGGCCGCCGACGUGUCGGCGGAAGGAGAGUACCCGUAGAACAAGCAUCGGCUAACUACGUGCCAGCAGCCGCGGUAAUACGUAGGGGGCAAGCGUUAUCCGGAUUUACUGGGUGUAAAGGGAGCGUAGACGGUAGAGCAAGUCUGAAGUGAAAGCCCGCGGCUCAACUGCGGGACUGCUUUGGAAACUGUUCAACUGGAGUGCUGGAGAGGUAAGCGGAAUUCCUAGUGUAGCGGCGAAAUGCGUAGAUAUUAGGAGGAACACCAGUGGCGAAGGCGGCUUACUGGACAGUAACUGACGUUGAGGCUCGAAAGCGUGGGGAGCAAACAGGAUUAGAUACCCGAGUA
This 466-nucleotide ribosomal RNA is filed under the name uncultured bacterium. RNAcentral describes it as "bacterial SSU rRNA". It matches the Rfam family "Bacterial small subunit ribosomal RNA", at positions 330 to 792 of the family's 1533-position model. The record is from RNAcentral.